AGUGAACGCUGGCGGUAGGCCUAACACAUGCAAGUCGAACGGCAGCACAGGAGAGCUUGCUCUCUGGGUGGCGAGUGGCGGACGGGUGAGGAAUACAUCGGAAUCUACCUUUUCGUGGGGGAUAACGUAGGGAAACUUACGCUAAUACCGCAUACGACCUUCGGGUGAAAGCAGGGGACCGUCGGGCCUUGCGCGGAUAGAUGAGCCGAUGUCGGAUUAGCUAGUUGGCGGGGUAAAGGACCACCAAGGCGACGAUCCGUAGCUGGUCUGAGAUGGUGAUCAGCAACACUGGAAAUGAGACAGGGUCCAGACGCCUACGGGAGGCAGCAGUGGGGAAUAUUGGACAAUGGGCGCAAGCCUGAUCCAGCCAUACCGCGUGGGUGAAGAUGACCGUCGGGUUGUAAAGCCCUUUUGUUGAGAAAGAAAAGCAGCCAGUUAAUACCUGGUUGUUCUGACGGUACCCAAAGAAUAAGCACCGGCUAACUUCGUGCCAGCAGCCGCCGUAA
This 506-nucleotide ribosomal RNA is filed under the name uncultured bacterium. Its description in RNAcentral is "partial 16S ribosomal RNA". It matches the Rfam family "Bacterial small subunit ribosomal RNA", at positions 29 to 523 of the family's 1533-position model. The record is from RNAcentral.